RNAcentral lists this ribosomal RNA (509 nucleotides) under Acinetobacter pittii. Its description in RNAcentral is "bacterial SSU rRNA". It matches the Rfam family "Bacterial small subunit ribosomal RNA", at positions 1 to 502 of the family's 1533-position model. The record is from RNAcentral. Lineage: Bacteria; Pseudomonadati; Pseudomonadota; Gammaproteobacteria; Moraxellales; Moraxellaceae.
UUUAACUGAAGAGUUUGAUCAUGGCUCAGAUUGAACGCUGGCGGCAGGCUUAACACAUGCAAGUCGAGCGGAGAGAGGUAGCUUGCUACUGAUCUUAGCGGCGGACGGGUGAGUAAUGCUUAGGAAUCUGCCUAUUAGUGGGGGACAACAUUUCGAAAGGAAUGCUAAUACCGCAUACGUCCUACGGGAGAAAGCAGGGGAUCUUCGGACCUUGCGCUAAUAGAUGAGCCUAAGUCGGAUUAGCUAGUUGGUGGGGUAAAGGCCUACCAAGGCGACGAUCUGUAGCGGGUCUGAGAGGAUGAUCCGCCACACUGGGACUGAGACACGGCCCAGACUCCUACGGGAGGCAGCAGUGGGGAAUAUUGGACAAUGGGCGCAAGCCUGAUCCAGCCAUGCCGCGUGUGUGAAGAAGGCCUUAUGGUUGUAAAGCACUUUAAGCGAGGAGGAGGCUACUUUAGUUAAUACCUAGAGAUAGUGGACGUUACUCGCAGAAUAAGCACCGGCUAACU